This 483-nucleotide ribosomal RNA is filed under the name uncultured bacterium. Its description in RNAcentral is "partial 16S ribosomal RNA". It matches the Rfam family "Bacterial small subunit ribosomal RNA", at positions 30 to 506 of the family's 1533-position model. The record is from RNAcentral.
AUUGAACGCUGGCGGCAGGCCUAACACAUGCAAGUCGAGCGGAUGAAGGGAGCUUGCUCCUGGAUUCAGCGGCGGACGGGUGAGUAAUGCCUAGGAAUCUGCCUGGUAGUGGGGGAUAACGUCCGGAAACGGGCGCUAAUACCGCAUACGUCCUGAGGGAGAAAGUGGGGGAUCUUCGGACCUCACGCUAUCAGAUGAGCCUAGGUCGGAUUAGCUAGUUGGUGGGGUAAAGGCCUACCAAGGCGACGAUCCGUAACUGGUCUGAGAGGAUGAUCAGUCACACUGGAACUGAGCCACGGUCCAGCCUCCUACGGGAGGCAGCAGUGGGGAAUUUUGGACAAUGGGCGAAAGCCUGAUCCAGCCAUGCCGCGUGUGUGAAGAAGGUCUUCGGAUUGUAAAGCACUUUAAGUUGGGAGGAAGGGCAGUAAGUUAAUACCUUGCUGUUUUGACGUUACCAACAGAAUAAGCACCGGCUAACUUCGU